GCCCGGCGCGGGGGCUGACGGAGUCGGGUCCAUCCGUGGUCUGUUCCCCGCCCCGCAGUGCUGCUCCUGCCUCUGGCACCGGCCCCAGCCCAGGAUGCAAAUUCGGCCUCCACUCCAGGCAGCCCCCUCUCUCCCACCGAGUAUGAGCGCUUCUUCGCACUGCUGACCCCAACCUGGAAGGCAGAGACUACCUGCCGCCUCCGGGCCACCCACGGCUGCCGGAACCCCACCCUCGUCCAGCUGGACCAGUAUGAAAACCACGGCCUGGUGCCGGACGGUGAGGGCCCGACUCCAGGGCCAGCCCGGUGCUCACUUGACGCAGGGGAAGGGCAUGGCUGGCAUCUUGCCGGGCGUCCGAGGUCCGGCUCUCCCGACCCCAGGAGCCCACGGCCCGCUCCAGGAGGGCGUUGCCCCUGGUGUGUUCACUCCACUCCUGCCCUUCCCCAGGCGCUGUCUGCUCCGACCUCCCUUAUGCCUCCUGGUUCGAGUCCUUUUGCCAGUUUACUCAGUACCGUUGCUCCAACCACGUCUACUACGCCAAGAGAGUCCGGUGCUCCCAGCCUGUCUCAAUCCUCUCACCUAACUCUCUCAAGGAGGUGGACACUUCCUCUGAAGUGCCGAUCACCACGAUGACCUCCCCCGUGUCUUCCCACAUCACAGGUGAGACCCUCCCAGCACCUGGGAGACUCAGAAACACCCCGCCCUCAAGUCCCCAAGCCCAGGGUGUAAGGCUGAGCCAGAAAAAGUGGCCUCAGGCAGCUAUUUACACAAGGCAGAGCCUGCUUUCUUUCAAUGCAAGUUGGGGCUUUCCUCUCCCAGAAUGUUUUCUGAUGUUUCUGCCCUGAAUCCAUUUUUCCUAGUCCUUAAAACAUUCCUACAUGAAGUCCUCUGGGGAGUUCCCUGGUGGCUCCGCAGGUUAAGGAUCCCACAUUGUCACUUCUGUGGUGCAGGUUACUGCUGUGGCUUGGAUUUAGUCGCUGACCCAGCAACUUCUGCAUGCUGCAGGUGUGGCCAAAAAAAUUAAUUAAAUUUAAAAAGUCCUCCAAGAGUUCCUGUUGUGGCUCAAUGGUAACA
Molecule: long non-coding RNA, 1074 nt
Filed under: Sus scrofa (pig)
Lineage: Eukaryota; Metazoa; Chordata; Mammalia; Artiodactyla; Suidae
Description: lncRNA (ENSSSCG00050078530.1)
Source: RNAcentral